This 644-nucleotide ribosomal RNA is filed under the name uncultured Actinoplanes sp. Its description in RNAcentral is "bacterial SSU rRNA". It matches the Rfam family "Bacterial small subunit ribosomal RNA", at positions 232 to 886 of the family's 1533-position model. The record is from RNAcentral. Lineage: Bacteria; Bacillati; Actinomycetota; Actinomycetes; Micromonosporales; Micromonosporaceae.
CGCGGCCUAUCAGCUUGUUGGUGAGGUAAUGGCUCACCAAGGCGAUGACGGGUAGCCGGCCUGAGAGGGUGACCGGCCACACUGGGACUGAGACACGGCCCAGACUCCUACGGGAGGCAGCAGUGGGGAAUAUUGGACAAUGGGCGAAAGCCUGAUCCAGCAACGCCGCGUGAGGGAUGACGGCCUUCGGGUUGUAAACCUCUUUCAGUAGGGACGAAGCGAAAGUGACGGUACCUACAGAAGAAGGACCGGCCAACUACGUGCCAGCAGCCGCGGUAAUACGUAGGGUCCGAGCGUUGUCCGGAAUUAUUGGGCGUAAAGAGCUCGUAGGCGGUUUGUCGCGUCUGCUGUGAAAUCCCGAGGCUCAACCUCGGGCCUGCAGUGGGUACGGGCAGACUAGAGUGCGGUAGGGGAGAUUGGAAUUCCUGGUGUAGCGGUGGAAUGCGCAGAUAUCAGGAGGAACACCGAUGGCGAAGGCAGAUCUCUGGGCCGUAACUGACGCUGAGGAGCGAAAGGGUGGGGAGCAAACAGGCUUAGAUACCCUGGUAGUCCACCCCGUAAACGUUGGGAACUAGUUGUGGGGUCCUUUCCACGGAUUCCGUGACGCAGCUAACGCAUUAAGUUCCCCGCCUGGGGAGUACGGA